GAUCCUGGCUUAGGAUGAACGCUGGCGGCGUGCUUAACACAUGCAAGUCGAACGGAGUUUUUAACGGAAGUUUCGGAUGGAAGUUUAGAAACUUAGUGGCGGACGGGUGAGUAACGCGUGGGUAACCUGCCUCAUACAGGGGGAUAACAGUUAGAAAUGACUGCUAACACCGCAUAAUAUAGCGAAACCGCAUGAUUUUGCUAUCAAAUAUUUAUAGGUAUGAGAUGGGCCCGCGUCUGAUUAGCUAGUUGGUGGGGUAAAAGCCUACCAAGGCGACGAUCAGUAGCCGGCUUGAGAGAGUGACCGGCCACAUUGGGACUGAGACACGGCCCAAACUCCUACGGGAGGCAGCAGUGGGGAAUAUUGGACAAUGGGGGAAACCCUGAUCCAGCGAACCGCCGCGUGAGUGAAGAAGUAUUUCGGUAUGUAAAGCUCUAUCAGCAGGGAAGAUAAUGACAGUACCUGACUAAGAAGCCCCGGCUAACUACGUGCCAGCCGCAGC
Molecule: ribosomal RNA, 502 nt
Filed under: uncultured bacterium
Lineage: Bacteria
Description: bacterial SSU rRNA
Rfam family: Bacterial small subunit ribosomal RNA
Source: RNAcentral